Long non-coding RNA from Zingiber officinale, 584 nucleotides. RefSeq lists it as uncharacterized. The record is from RefSeq and is a predicted model, not a curated record. The transcript has 3 exons. Lineage: Eukaryota; Viridiplantae; Streptophyta; Magnoliopsida; Zingiberales; Zingiberaceae.
AGUGUUUAUUUUAUUUAAGUUAUAAGCCGAGAAAGGUAUUUUUAUUUUAAUUUGUGCAGGGGUUAUUCAACCCUUCCUCUAGCCGGUCGCCAAGGGUCCUAACAAGUGGUAUCAGAACUAGGACGUUUCAGGAGAACUAACCGCCGAACGAAGCACACAGAAUGGCUGGACCAAGUAUCUGUCCACCAAAGUUCGAGGGGAGUUCGCAAGAUGGAAAAAGAAAAUGAAGGCAAGGAAGAAUACCAGUGGACGAAGAAGGAGCAGGCGGACUUCGUGGCAAUCUAUUGAGUGUCCUACUGCCACAAGAAGUCAACUGAAUCGGCGCUUACGACUCAGCAAACGAACUUUGGGAUAAGUUCCUUGAGCUACACGAAGGGGCGUUCGAAGCCAAGCUCGCGAGACGAGGUCUGCUAAGGAAUCAGUUAAGCAACGUAAAACUGGAAGCAGAAGAAACCGUUGCACAUCUUCACUCGAGAAUGAAGAAACUAAUCACCGGACUCACGAAUCUCGGAGAAAAUGUAAGCAACCGAGAUACGCUAAGAUCCGAAGAAGGAGCCGAAGCACAACAUUGCAUUUAAGGCAAG